GUCGAGCGGAUCGAUGGAAGCUUGCUUCCUGAGAUCAGCGGCGGACGGGUGAGUAACACGUGGGCAACCUGCCCCUAAGAUCGGGAUAACUUCGGGAAACCGGAGCUAAUACCGGAUAGGACUUUUCUUCACAUGAAGGGAAGUGGAAAGACGGUUUCGGCUGUCACUUAGGGAUGGGCCCGCGGCGCAUUAGCUAGUUGGUGAGGUAACGGCUCACCAAGGCCACGAUGCGUAGCCGACCUGAGAGGGUGAUCGGCCACACUGGGACUGAGACACGGCCCAGACUCCUACGGGAGGCAGCAGUAGGGAAUCUUCCGCAAUGGACGAAAGUCUGACGGAGCAACGCCGCGUGAGUGAAGAAGGUUUUCGGAUCGUAAAACUCUGUUGUCAGGGAAGAACAAGUACCAUAGUAACUGAUGGUACCUUGACGGUACCUGACCAAAAAGCCACGGGCUAACUACGUGCCAGCAGCCGCGGUAAUACGUAGGUGGCAAGCGUUGUCCGGAUUUAUUGGGCGUAAAGCGCGCGCAGGCGGUCUUUUUAAGUCUGAUGUGAAAGCCCACGGCUCAACCGUGGGAGGGUCAUUGGAAACUGGGAAGACUUGAAGUGC
Molecule: ribosomal RNA, 610 nt
Filed under: Bacillus sp. (in: firmicutes)
Lineage: Bacteria; Bacillati; Bacillota; Bacilli; Caryophanales; Bacillaceae
Description: bacterial SSU rRNA
Rfam family: Bacterial small subunit ribosomal RNA
Source: RNAcentral